CCUGUACUGACGUCACAGCGCCGCGCCGCGCCGGUCCCGGAAGUCGGGACCCGUAGAACGCUUUGCAAGGAUCUCCCGUGUGAGAGUUUGGGUGGCAGCUUGAUGGCUCAAAGAAGAGCUCCCUCCUGAGUGAAGCCAGGAUAGUUCCCUCCUGAAGAGAAGAACUCACAGGGCAGGGGCCCUGUUUGUGGAAAACAGCCCCAGAACUUCAUGGGAGAGGAACAAAAACUGGUUCUGGCUUGUGGACAACCCUAGAAUUGUCAUGGCCCAGGCGCAUCCACCGACCCUCCCAAUGGCCCCAGGAAACACGCAGGAACUGAGCAUCUCAGUCAGCAGGUCAGCCCCAGAAUUGAUACCAU
This is a long non-coding RNA of Mus musculus (house mouse), 359 nucleotides long. RefSeq annotates it as predicted gene, 33037. The transcript is spliced from 4 exons. NCBI's taxonomy places the organism in Eukaryota, Metazoa, Chordata, Mammalia, Rodentia, Muridae. The record is from RefSeq and is a predicted model, not a curated record.